GUUAUUUAAUAAUUUUCAAGAGGGUUUAUUAAAAGUCUCAUAUCCAUGCACUCCACAAUUUACAAAAAAAAUCUUUAUUUAUGUUAAUAUGAUAUACCUGCCUACCAGAUCUACCUGGUAGCAGUUCACAAGGUCAAGCACAAUUAUAUAGUUAAAUUUUAUAGGUUUCUAAAACAAUUGGCUAGACACUAACCAUAAAAAGUGAC
This 206-nucleotide long non-coding RNA is filed under the name Mytilus galloprovincialis (Mediterranean mussel). Lineage: Eukaryota; Metazoa; Mollusca; Bivalvia; Mytilida; Mytilidae. The record is from RNAcentral.